RNAcentral lists this unclassified non-coding RNA (373 nucleotides) under soil metagenome. RNAcentral's name for it is "partial contains 5.8S ribosomal RNA, internal transcribed spacer 2, and large subunit ribosomal RNA". The stretch from base 1 to 121 matches the Rfam family "5.8S ribosomal RNA", at positions 35 to 154 of the family's 154-position model. The record is from RNAcentral.
GAUGAAGAACGUAGUGAAAUGCGAUAAGUAAUGCGAAUUGCAGAAUUCCAGUGAGUCAUCGAAUCUUUGAACGCACAUUGCGCCCUUUGGUAUUCCGAAGGGCAUGCCUGUUCGAGCGUCAUUAUCACCCCUCAAGCCCUCGGCUUGGUGUUGGACGGUUUGGUGGAGGCCCCCUCGGGGGCUCCUGCCCCUCCUAAAGACAAUGACGGCGGCCUCGUUGGACCCCCGGUACACUGAGUUCUUCACGGGACACGUAUCGGACACAUGGGUUUACGGGACACGGUCUGCCUCCCCUCAGGGAGAAUCUUUCUAAGGUUGACCUCGGAUCAGGUAGGGAUACCCGCUGAACUUAGGCAUAUCAAUAAGCGGAGGA